UUCCAUUUAGCAUUCUAUUUAGGGUAUUACAUUGGUUUUUUUGAAAUUCUGUUAUUGGCAGUUUCUAUUGCCUAUCAAUCCCAUUUAAAGAUAGUGCAUAGGGUAUUCUAAAAUAGCUGUUAAGCAAAGAGAAAAUUGGGCCUGAUAGGGUGAGAAUCACAGCUCUAAUACCUAGAGUGACCUUAUAAUGUAUUGUCCAAAGGAGAUAUUUUUGACAGUGAAAGAGGAGGGUGUUGUUAGUAAUUAUAUCAGGACCAUGGCCUAAACCAGGACUAUCCCAGGCAGCCUGGGACAUAUUUGUACCCCAUCUCUAUUUAAUGCCUUCAUACAAUUCUUUACUUAAUUCUACCAGCCUUUAUUGAGCCUGCUUUCUUUGUCUAGCUGAGUGCCACGUGCUGACAUCACUAAGAUCAAUACAGCAAACUCUGAAAGAUGGACAGAGAGACAGGAGAUGGUCCUUUAUAAUGCAGUGUGAUCUGUGCUGCAAUAGAGAUGGAAGAGUGUUCUGAUCGGCUGGAAAACAACGCACAUGGGAAGCUGUACAGAAAUGAGUGGGGAAAGUUUUGGAAGCUAGAAGUUCAAAACGAGGUGUUGGCAGCACCAUGCUCUCUCUGAAGAUGCUAGGAAGAAUCUGCUCCAUGCCUUUCCAUUCGCUUCUGGGGUUUCCUGCAAGCCCUGACAUUCCUUGGCUUGUGGAUGCAUCACCCCAGUUUCCGUCCCCAUCAUCACAUGGCCUCCUCUCUGUGUGUGCCUCUGCGUUCCCUCUAUUCUUCUUCUAAGGACACCAACACCAGUCAUAGUGGAUUAAGGGUCCACUCCUAACUAAUUACAUCUGCAACAACCCUAUUUCCAAAUAAAGUCACAUUCUAAGAUUCCUAGGGAGAACAUGAAUUUUUGGGGGUGUGUGGAUACUGUUCAACCUGGGACAUGGAGUAAAUAAAUGGCAAGGAAGAUUACAGAUGACUUUAAGCUAAAGAG
This 978-nucleotide long non-coding RNA is filed under the name Pan troglodytes (chimpanzee). RNAcentral's name for it is "long non-coding RNA NONPTRT012316". Lineage: Eukaryota; Metazoa; Chordata; Mammalia; Primates; Hominidae. The record is from RNAcentral.